RNAcentral lists this ribosomal RNA (468 nucleotides) under uncultured bacterium. RNAcentral's name for it is "partial 16S ribosomal RNA". It matches the Rfam family "Bacterial small subunit ribosomal RNA", at positions 28 to 507 of the family's 1533-position model. The record is from RNAcentral.
GACGAACGCUGGCGGCGUGCUUAACACAUGCAAGUCGAACGGAAAGGCCCUGCUUUUGUGGGGUGCUCGAGUGGCGAACGGGUGAGUAACACGUGAGUAACCUGCCCUUGACUUUGGGAUAACUUCAGGAAACUGGGGCUAAUACCGGAUAGGAGCUCCUGCUGCCUGGUGGGGGUUGGAAAGUUUCGGCGGUUGGGGAUGGACUCGCGGCUUAUCAGCUUGUUGGUGGUGUAGUGGCUUACCAAGGCUUUGACGGGUAGCCGGCCUGAGAGGGUGACCGGCCACAUUGGGACUGAGAUACGGCCCAGACUCCUACGGGAGGCAGAAGUGGGGAAUAUUGCACAAUGGGCGGAAGCCGGAGGCAGCAACGCCGCGUGCGGGAUGACGGCCUUCGGUUUGGAAACCGCUUUCGCCGGUGACGAAGCGGGAGUGACGGUAAUGGGUAAAGAAGCACCGGCUAACUACGUG